Molecule: long non-coding RNA, 525 nt
Organism: Pollicipes pollicipes
Lineage: Eukaryota; Metazoa; Arthropoda; Thecostraca; Pollicipedomorpha; Pollicipedidae
Exons: 4
Source: RefSeq, a predicted model, not a curated record
CGGUGAGCAAGGGUCAGUGGCGGCCGAUGGUGCUGCGGAUAUGUGAUAGCGCACGGGGGGAUUACGCACUGGCAAGCAAAGGAAUAUUAAAUUGCCCCCUAUUGGUUGCCAUCACAGAACAAGAAUGGCAAUGGCAAGAAGGUUCACAUCAAGUCUAUUAAGUCAGCUAUGUUCUACUUCAUGUGCAAACAGGGUGAUGCACAGUGAUGCAGCAUCAGGGAUGCGGCUGCCAUCAUCAAACGUGUGGAUGAGAAGAUCUGGAUCGGAUCUUCGCUCAUGUGUUGCCUCACUGAAGACAAGUGCAUCAUAUUCAGGCAUCAUAAUAGACCAGGAAGUCCAACCAGAUGACAACUCAAAAUUAGCAGCAGAAAAUGAAAUUGUUUCAGGUGUUGUGUCGCGUGUGAACGAGAGCAUCAGCGAGGAACGGCCGGUCGCCUGUUCGCCGUGGUGCACGUUGCCGGGAAGCAGUUCAAGGUGACGGACGGUGACCUGGUGGUGGUGCAGGGUCACUGGCCGCCCGUCACC